This 29-nucleotide non-coding RNA is filed under the name Mus musculus (house mouse). Lineage: Eukaryota; Metazoa; Chordata; Mammalia; Rodentia; Muridae. The record is from RNAcentral.
UGGUAACUUGUGUCCUGAAGGAUGAUGAC